RNAcentral lists this ribosomal RNA (490 nucleotides) under uncultured bacterium. RNAcentral describes it as "partial 16S ribosomal RNA". It matches the Rfam family "Bacterial small subunit ribosomal RNA", at positions 30 to 507 of the family's 1533-position model. The record is from RNAcentral.
AUUGAACGCUGGCGGCAUGCCUUACACAUGCAAGUCGAACGGCAGCAUGAUCUAGCUUGCUAGAUUGAUGGCGAGUGGCGAACGGGUGAGUAAUACAUCGGAACGUGCCCUGUAGUGGGGGAUAACUAGUCGAAAGAUUAGCUAAUACCGCAUACGACCUGAGGGUGAAAGUGGGGGACCGCAAGGCCUCAUGCUAUAGGAGCGGCCGAUGUCUGAUUAGCUAGUUGGUGAGGUAAAGGCUCACCAGGGCGACGAUCAGUAGCUGGUCUGAGAGGACGAUCAGCCACACUGGGACUGAGACACGGCCCAGACUCCUACGGGAGGCAGCAGUGGGGAAUUUUGGACAAUGGGCGAAAGCCUGAUCCAGCAAUGCCGCGUGUGUGAAGAAGGCCUUCGGGUUGUAAAGCACUUUUGUCCGGAAAGAAAUGGCUCUGGUUAAUACCUGGGGUCGAUGACGGUACCGGAAGAAUAAGGACCGGCUAACUACGUG